CCUGAAGAGCUUCCAGGAGAAAUUAGUAUGUAAUGACCGCACUCUGCAAGAAGAAAGGCCCAUUAUGGCUCUCGCCGACUGUACUUGGCUUUCAUUUGCAAGCUAAAUGGAUGCGCGCAAAGAGUGGAACAGCAGCAGUGGCCUGUGGACGGGUUUCACUGCAGCUCCGCCAGCCGGCCUGCCAAGUGCCUCAUUAGUAUUCCACGCAGUGGCAUUUGCCAGCCUGAGUGUUGCCUUGGCAACACUGCCCACACAAGUGAUGAUAAAUGGGGCUUUCAGUUUCCUCUUAUUCUCUCUCUCUCUGUCAUUCUUUCCCUCUCUCCAAGCCCAUAAAGCAGUUCUAAGGAGGCCCUGGCCAGUGUACAGCUCCUGGUGCAGGGAAGGGAAGAAAGAGCCGAGGGAAUAAUACUUUAGACAGGGGAAGACUGAGAGAGGAAAGGCAGGAAAAUAGAGGAAGGAGAAAGCAGGGGAAGGUGUAAAUGAGAAUGGUUAGUAGAAGCUGUGACACACAGCACAGAGUGCAUUCUAGGUCUGGAUGGAGAAGUAUUGGUGCCCCUUAAAUAAUUUUCAUUCAUGUAAAUACUGUAUGACAAUGGCCUGUACUGGAAAGCUGCUUUUUUAUAUCUCACCUCUCAUUUCCUUUGACAAACCAUGCAUAAGUGUCACACAUUCGGAACUGUCAUUUCUUACUCCACAGGAGAAUUUGAUAACAAACUUGA
Molecule: long non-coding RNA, 719 nt
Organism: Silurus meridionalis
Lineage: Eukaryota; Metazoa; Chordata; Actinopteri; Siluriformes; Siluridae
Exons: 2
Source: RefSeq, a predicted model, not a curated record